RNAcentral lists this ribosomal RNA (601 nucleotides) under Lacticaseibacillus paracasei. RNAcentral's name for it is "bacterial SSU rRNA". It matches the Rfam family "Bacterial small subunit ribosomal RNA", at positions 1 to 530 of the family's 1533-position model. The record is from RNAcentral. Lineage: Bacteria; Bacillati; Bacillota; Bacilli; Lactobacillales; Lactobacillaceae.
UUUAUAUGAGAGUUUGAUCCUGGCUCAGGAUGAACGCUGGCGGCGUGCCUAAUACAUGCAAGUCGAACGAGUUCUCGUUGAUGAUCGGUGCUUGCACCGAGAUUCAACAUGGAACGAGUGGCGGACGGGUGAGUAACACGUGGGUAACCUGCCCUUAAGUGGGGGAUAACAUUUGGAAACAGAUGCUAAUACCGCAUAGAUCCAAGAACCGCAUGGUUCUUGGCUGAAAGAUGGCGUAAGCUAUCGCUUUUGGAUGGACCCGCGGCGUAUUAGCUAGUUGGUGAGGUAAUGGCUCACCAAGGCGAUGAUACGUAGCCGAACUGAGAGGUUGAUCGGCCACAUUGGGCUGAGACACGGCCCAAACUCCUACGGGAGGCAGCAGUAGGGAAUCUUCCACAAUGGACGCAAGUCUGAUGGAGCAACGCCGCGUGAGUGAAGAAGGCUUUCGGGUCGUAAAACUCUGUUGUUGGAGAAGAAUGGUCGGCAGACAGAGGCUGGAAUUGAAACCGCCGGGCCGCGGUAUUUGGUUUCGAUUAUGAUUAUCAGCCGGUUGAAAACUUGAUAAAGGAGGGUAGGCCAUGAUCGAUUAGGCAUUGUACGG